CGCUCUGCUGGGCCAUAACUGACGCUCAUGGACGAAAGCCAGGGGAGCGAAAGGGAUUAGAUACCCUGUAGUCCUGGCCGUAAACGAUGAACACUAGGUGUCGGGGGAAUCGACCCCCUCGGUGUCGUAGCCAACGCGUUAAGUGUUCCGCCUGGGGAGUACGCACGCAAGUGUGAAACUCAAAGGAAUUGACGGGGGCCCGCACAAGCGGUGGAGUAUGUGGUUUAAUUCGAUGCAACGCGAAGAACCUUACCAGGGUUUGACAUCCUGCGAAUCUCUUGGAAACGAGAGAGUGCCUUCGGGAACGCAGUGACAGGUGGUGCAUGGCUGUCGUCAGCUCGUGUCGUGAGAUGUUGGGUUAAGUCCCGCAACGAGCGCAACCCACGUCUUUAGUUGCCAGCAUUUAGUUGGGCACUCUAGAGAGACCGCCGGUGAUAAACCGGAGGAAGGUGUGGAUGACGUCAAGUCAUCAUGCCCCUUACAUCCUGGGCUACACACGUACUACAAUGCUACGGACAAAGAGCAGCAAGUUCGCGAGGACAAGCAAAUCUCAUAAACCGUGGCUCAGUUCAGAUCGUAGGCUGCAACUCGCCUACGUGAAGGAGGAAUCGCUAGUAAUCGCAGGUCAGCAUACUGCGGUGAAUACGUUCCCGGGCCUUGUACACACCGCCCGUCACACCAUGGAAGUUGGCCACGCCCGAAGCCGUUACUCCAACCCUUGUGGAGGAGGACGUCGAAGGUGGGGCUGAUGACUGGGGUGAAGUCGUAACAAGGUAGCCGUACCGGAAGGUGCGGCUG
RNAcentral lists this ribosomal RNA (798 nucleotides) under marine metagenome. RNAcentral's name for it is "bacterial SSU rRNA". It matches the Rfam family "Bacterial small subunit ribosomal RNA", at positions 722 to 1520 of the family's 1533-position model. The record is from RNAcentral.